This 441-nucleotide ribosomal RNA is filed under the name uncultured bacterium. RNAcentral's name for it is "partial 16S ribosomal RNA". It matches the Rfam family "Bacterial small subunit ribosomal RNA", at positions 338 to 795 of the family's 1533-position model. The record is from RNAcentral.
CCUACGGGGGGCAGCAGUGGGGAAUAUUGCACAAUGGGGGACACCCUGAUGCAGCGACGCCGCGUGAGUGAAGAAGGCUUUCUGUAUGUAAAGCUCUAUCAGCAGGGGAGAAGAAAGACGGUACCUGACUAAGGAGCCGCGGCCAACUACGUGCCAGCAGCCGAGGUAAUACGUAGGGGGCAAGCGUUAUCCGGAUUUACUGGGUUUAAAGGGAGCGUAGACGGCUGUCCAAGGCUGAAGUGAAAGCCCAGGGCUCAACCCUGGGACUGCUGUGGAAACUGUGGAGCUAGAGUGCUGGAGAGGUAAGUGGAAUUCCUAGUGUAGCGGUGAAAUGCGUAGAUAUUAGGAGGAACACCAGUGGCGAAGGCGGCUUACUGGACAGUAACUGACGUUGAAGCUCGAAAGCGUGGGGAGCAAACAGGAUUAGAUACCCCUGUAGUC